GGGGCCAGUCCCCUAUAUUGAGUUUUAUUUGCUCUUCUUUUUUGCAUCUACAGGUAUUUGGACCGUCUUGGUGAAUAUUCCUCACGUACUUGGAAAGAACGUGAAUUCGACGUUAGACGGAGUGGUCUCUAACGGUCAACUGGGUCAAGCUGGUGGGCAGCAUUGUUCAAAUCUUCUGUGUUCUUGCAGAUAUGGUGUCCAGCUCAGAUGGCUUUGUCCCCGCAUUUGUAACUGGGCAGAAGCUGGGGCCCGGAUGUUUCUGGUUGGAGGAUCCCGAGAACAACACCCCCACCCCCCACCCCACCGCCCAUGCCUUUGCAGUCUCUGAAUUGCACGUGGGGGCAGAGAUGCCUCCUGAGAAAAUCACCCACAGGUUUCACAGGAAGAAUCAUUUGGGGUUGGGA
Molecule: long non-coding RNA, 404 nt
Organism: Equus quagga
Lineage: Eukaryota; Metazoa; Chordata; Mammalia; Perissodactyla; Equidae
Exons: 3
Source: RefSeq, a predicted model, not a curated record